UACAGAGGUGGCAAGCGUUGUUCGGAAUUACUGGGCGUAAAGGGCGCGUAGGCGGCCAUCUAAGUCAGACGUGAAAUCCCCCGGCUUAACCUGGGAACUGCGUCUGAUACUGGAAGGCUUGAGUAUGGGAGAGGGAUGUAGAAUUCCAGGUGUAGCGGUGAAAUGCGUAGAUAUCGUUUGGAACGCCAAUGGUGAAAACAGGUAGCUGGGAGUGUGCCGACGCUGAGACACGAAAGCCAGGGGAGCGAACGGG
Molecule: ribosomal RNA, 253 nt
Filed under: uncultured bacterium
Lineage: Bacteria
Description: partial 16S ribosomal RNA
Rfam family: Bacterial small subunit ribosomal RNA
Source: RNAcentral